Long non-coding RNA from Pantherophis guttatus, 634 nucleotides. RefSeq lists it as uncharacterized. Lineage: Eukaryota; Metazoa; Chordata; Lepidosauria; Squamata; Colubridae. The record is from RefSeq and is a predicted model, not a curated record.
UUGCGCAUGGCUGGUGUGUUCAGUGGGGCCGUGAGCUUCUAGAGUUGUUGUUUUUUCGUUAAAGAUGCAAAGGAAGCCCUUUGGACGUCAUUCGCCUGGCUACGCAGCAAGGGAGUAGUGUGUGCAAAAUAUACUAUUUGCUCCGCUUGUACUAUUUUUUUUUUCCCUGAAUAAAUAAAGUGGCCCAAGAUUAUUAUUUUUCUUGCUGACUUUCUUUCCUGGUUUCGUAUAGGUUUUUGUUCGCAGGAAAACCAAGCUUUAUAGGAAAGGCUGUUUCCUCAGUAGUGCCGUAUAGGUAGAUUCUCACAACUUGCAGCAUUUUCCAGCCAUUUCUUUUGGUAUGAGAGAUCUUGCCUUUUUCAACACUAUACAAUAUUCUGCAAGUCAUUGCAAGUUUUAAGGAGGAUACAAACUCAUCUGGAAAAGGGAGCAAUGUAAUCCAUAAAUUUGCUGCUUGUGGAAUGUUAUCUAGAAUCAAUAUUUUCUCUUGUAUAAUUCUCACAUGUAAUUAGUGCCUUUUAUUGUUCAAUAUAUAUUUUUCUGAGGUAUCAGAUAUACUGAACUGAAUGUAUGUACCAUUUCUGUACCCUGUAAAAAGACUUAACCCCCUUUAAUAAAUGCUAUUUGCUUUGAA